RNAcentral lists this small RNA (2003 nucleotides) under Histoplasma capsulatum var. duboisii H88. RNAcentral describes it as "Histoplasma capsulatum H88 hypothetical RNA". The record is from RNAcentral. Lineage: Eukaryota; Fungi; Ascomycota; Eurotiomycetes; Onygenales; Ajellomycetaceae.
GCCGCUUCCAUCUUCCCUUGAUUUUCUUUUUGCCUCUUGCUCUUCUGAAUUUUUUUCUUUUUCUUUUUUACUUUUUCUUUUUUACUUUUUCCCUUACCCCUCACGCUGCGCCGUCUCUGACGUGGCAAUGCCUCCAUCUUCCCCGUUCCCCGACAUCCUGUGAUUGGGAGGCACCGAGACACCUUGACAGGCGAGGACGACAUAUCCAAUCAUUGAUGCUAUCUGUGAUCACAUUCCAUCUCCCCGAGACAGAUUUGUCUCACUCUUUAAUUCCCAGGAGAUUGAGAUUUUCCUUUGUGAAAAUUUCUGUUGCUGCGCCGCAGGCUGUGCCAGGAUGAGGAUAAUGGAUUGGCUCUGGGGGGAAAUGGUAUUACUGAUCUACUGGCCUGGCUGCGACGAGGACGUUUGGGGUGCAAGGAGCACAGAAUACGGCCAGGGGAGGAGGGGGGGUGGGUUAGGGGCAAUUUCCGUAGCACAGGGGGGUUAACGACUGUCGUGUGGAAGGUGUACUUAUAUUUGAAAGGGCCCUGUGUUUACGGGCUUAACUACCUAUACAUUACAAUCUCAUAAUCUACAAUCUCUCUUUCUUCCCGCCCUGGAUAACGUCGGCCAGCAAGAACGGGGCUUUUGGUCGCCUUUCUGCCACUCGUUUGCAAUCGUACUUGCCUUGAAACGGGUUCGUCUCAACCCUCGACUCUCGAAAUUGGGAUCGGCCUCUGCGAAGCCUUCUACUGCUGUUCUAGAGUGCGACGAGAAGAAAUCGCAGCCGUUUGCCAAUCAAGGAAUACCAAAUUCUCAACUUCCCCUAGCUGGACGAUGAGAUGUUGAGGGGAGAAGGUACAUGUCCACAAGCUACCCACAUGCAAAACCGCGUACGGCAAGGGUUUUCAACGGUUUGAUAUCAACGGGCAAAGCAACCUUUGUUUUUCCAGCAGCAUCACUUGCCCUCCAUCUCGCAAACAAUUCAAAGUUCUUCGCGUCCUCCCCUCCGCGGAGAUCAUAAAUGUCACUUUUCUGAAUGCAGAGAUGCGUGCCGUCGAAGUGAGCGAUGAGGAUGCGGCCCUUGAUGCCGAAAUGGGAGAUGACCAGUACCUAUACAACACGGGUAUUAGUACAGGGCUUGGAAAAGUUAUUAGGGAUAAAUGAGGCGCAUGUAUAACUCACUGGAAAGACUUCAUGUUGUGGAUACUUCAAUAUGCUCAUUCUCCAUCGCAUGAACACAAGGAUAGGGAGGAUCUCGCUUCGCCUUAGAGGUUCCUCUGCCUCUGCAUCUUGCAGUAUAUGGAAUUUACAAUGGGGAUACUCGACAGAAUAAGCCUCCACGUCUCCAUUCACCGACCAAUUGUAAUUUGCGCCUCCAGCAAGGUAUUCAGCACGGGCAUUCGGAAUACCUGGAUCCUCCCGGUAACACCUUGUAAGCCUGCAAAAAAUGGGUUGUUAGCAUUAUAUUAAAAUCCGUAUCACAGGUUUCAAAAACAAGAGACUUGGCACAAGAGGGAAAGCAGAAUCUCUCACAAAGUAUCAGACCACUCUGUGUGUCCUGAGCCUGGCUUAAGUUGAGACCCCAUCCACCGUGAAGCAUUUUCUAUGAUGCCCAGUGCCCGGUAAGAGUGCUUGUUGUCCUCAGCUUCCGGCUCGUACAGCUUAAGGCGCCCAGUACCCCAUGGAACUCCAGGGACUUCAUUUUCAGAGACUGGUGCAUAGAAACAAGGUCCCGUCGCAGCCGGUUGGGUAAGAUCUAAGGGUAAAAGUUUGAUUCCCAGUCGUGUAAGGUCACUGUCACCGAAGGAGGAAGGUUUGAACUGUUUUACCAUCAUGUACAUCGACCUCAACCGACGGAUCACGACCUUCUUUCGCUCCCCACUAUCAGGGUCUGUGAUCGCCGGCAUUGCUUUGGACGCAGUUGCGUGGCGUUUUAUGUAAGGAGAGAUCAAGUCUGAAAAGCGACUUAAGGAUAUUUUGCGGCACUGAAUGUUGAGAGGAUGCGGUGUUUGUGCCAGGGA